This 497-nucleotide ribosomal RNA is filed under the name uncultured bacterium. RNAcentral's name for it is "partial 16S ribosomal RNA". It matches the Rfam family "Bacterial small subunit ribosomal RNA", at positions 28 to 507 of the family's 1533-position model. The record is from RNAcentral.
GAUGAACGCUGGCGGCGUGCCUAAUACAUGCAAGUCGAGCGAACAGAUGAGGAGCUUGCUCCUCUGACGUUAGCGGCGGACGGGUGAGUAACACGUGGAUAACCUACCUAUAAGACUGGGAUAACUUCGGGAAACCGGAGCCAAUACCGGAUAAUAUAUUGAACCGCAUGGUUCAAUAGUGAAAGACGGUUUUGCUGUCACUUAUAGAUGGUUCCGCGCCGCAUUAGCUAGUUGGUAAGGUAACGGCUUACCAAGGCAACGAUGCGUAGCUGACCUGAGAGGGUGAUCGGCCACACUGGAACUGAGACACGGUCCAGACUCCUACGGGAGGCAGCAGUAGGGAAUCUUCGGCAAUGGGCGAAAGCCUGACGGAGCAACGCCGCGUGAGUGAUGAAGGUCUUCGGAUCGUAAAGCUCUGUUAUUAGGGAAGAACAGAUGUAUAAGAAACUAUGCACGUCUUGACGGUACCUAAUCAGAAAGCAACGGCUAACUACGUG